AGAGUUUGAUCCUGGCUCAGGACGAACGCUGGCGGCGUGCUUAACACAUGCAAGUCGAACGGAAAGGCUUCUAGCUUGCUAGGGGUACUCGAGUGGCGAACGGGUGAGUAACACGUGGGUGAUCUGCCCUCAACUUUGGGAUAAGCCUGGGAAACUGGGCCUAAUACCGGAUAGGAACAAUCUUUAGUGUGGUUGUUGGAAAGCUUUUGCGGUUGGGGAUGAGCUCGCGGCCUAUCAGCUUGUUGGUGGGGUAAUGGCCUACCAAGGCGUCGACGGGUAGCCGGCCUGAGAGGGUGUACGGCCACAUUGGGACUGAGAUACGGCCCAGACUCCUACGGGAGGCAGCAGUGGGGAAUAUUGCACAAUGGGCGGAAGCCUGAUGCAGCGACGCCGCGUGGGGGAUGAAGGCCUUCGGGUUGUAAACUCCUUUCGACAGGGACGAAGCUUUUGUGACGGUACCUGUAUAAGAAGCACCGGCUAACUACGUGCCAGCAGCCGCGGUAAUACGUAGGGUGCGAGCGUUGUCCGGAAUUACUGGGCGUAAAGAGCUCGUAGGUGGUUUGUCGCGUCGUCUGUGAAAUUCCGGGGCUUAACUCCGGGCGUGCAGGCGAUACGGGCUGACUUGAGUGCUGUAGGGGAGACUGGAAUUCCUGGUGUAGCGGUGAAAUGCGCAGAUAUCAGGAGGAACACCGAUGGCGAAGGCAGGUCUCUGGGCAGUUACUGACGCUGAGGAGCGAAAGCAUGGGUAGCGAACAGGAUUAGAUACCCUGGUAGUCC
Molecule: ribosomal RNA, 777 nt
Filed under: uncultured bacterium
Lineage: Bacteria
Description: bacterial SSU rRNA
Rfam family: Bacterial small subunit ribosomal RNA
Source: RNAcentral